UACGUAGGGUGCAAGCGUUGUCCGGAAUUAUUGGGCGUAAAGAGCUCGUAGGCGGUCUGUCGCGUCGUUCGUGAAAACCUGCAGCUCAACUGCAGGCUUGCGGUCGAUACGGGCAGGCUGGAGUUCGGUAGGGGAGACUGGAAUUCCUGGUGUAGCGGUGAAAUGCGCAGAUAUCAGGAGGAACACCGGUGGCGAAGGCGGGUCUCUGGGCCGAUACUGACGCUGAGGAGCGAAAGCGUGGGGAGCGAACAGG
Molecule: ribosomal RNA, 253 nt
Filed under: uncultured bacterium
Lineage: Bacteria
Description: partial 16S ribosomal RNA
Rfam family: Bacterial small subunit ribosomal RNA
Source: RNAcentral